This 265-nucleotide ribosomal RNA is filed under the name uncultured archaeon. RNAcentral's name for it is "partial 16S ribosomal RNA". It matches the Rfam family "Archaeal small subunit ribosomal RNA", at positions 718 to 982 of the family's 1478-position model. The record is from RNAcentral.
AGUCACUGACAUUAGAUACCCCCUGUAGUCCCAGCCCUAAACGAUGCGCGUUAGGUGUAUCGGUGACCACGAGUCACCGAGGUGCCGAAGGAAACCGUGAAACGUGCCGCCUGGGAAGUACGGCCGCAAGGCUGAAACUUAAAGGAAUUGGCGGGGGAGCACAACAACGGGUGGAGCUUGCGGUUUAAUUGGAUUCAACGCCGGAAAUCUUACCGGGACCGACAGCAACAUGAAGGCCAAGCUGAAGACUUUGCCGGAUUAGCUG